GUGCCAGCCGCCGCGGUAAUACGUAGGGGGCAAGCGUUGUCCGGAUUUAUUGGGCGUAAAGAGCGUGUAGGCGGCUUGGUAGGUCUCUCGUCAAAACCUGAGGCUCAACCUCAGUUCGCGUGGGAAACCACCUAGCUAGAGUCCGGAAGAGGAGAACGGAAUUCCCAGUGUAGCGGUGAAAUGCGCAGAUAUCAGGAGGAACACCCGUGGCGAAGGCGGCUCUCUGGGACGGUACUGACGCUGAGACGCGAAAGCGUGGGGAGCAAACAGGAUUAGAUACCCUGGUAGUCCACGCCGUAAACGAUGGGUGCUAGGUGUGGGGGGUGUCGACUCCCUCCGUGCCGAAGCUAACGCAUUAAGCACCCCGCCUGGGGAGUACGGCCGCAAGGCUAAAACUCAAAGGAAUUGACGG
Molecule: ribosomal RNA, 412 nt
Filed under: uncultured bacterium
Lineage: Bacteria
Description: bacterial SSU rRNA
Rfam family: Bacterial small subunit ribosomal RNA
Source: RNAcentral